UUUCCGUAGGUGAACCUGCGGAAGGAUCAUUACCGAGUGCGGGCCCUCUGGGUCCAACCUCCCAUCCGUGUCUAUUCAUACCCUGUUGCUUCGGCGGGCCCGCCGGCUGCCCCUCCUGGGGAUGCCGGCCGCCGGGGGGCUAACCUGCCCCCGGGCCCGUGCCCGCCGGGGACACCAACACUGAACACUGUCUGAAGGUUGCAGUCUGAGUUUUCAUAAAGGAAAAUUGUUAAAACUUUCAACAACGGAUCUCUUGGUUCCG
Molecule: unclassified non-coding RNA, 262 nt
Filed under: soil metagenome
Description: partial contains small subunit ribosomal RNA, internal transcribed spacer 1, and 5.8S ribosomal RNA
Source: RNAcentral